RNA transcript from Polypterus senegalus (gray bichir), 4003 nucleotides. It is a transcript of the gene named ciliogenesis associated TTC17 interacting protein, with no coding region annotated. The transcript is spliced from 14 exons. NCBI's taxonomy places the organism in Eukaryota, Metazoa, Chordata, Cladistia, Polypteriformes, Polypteridae. The record is from RefSeq and is a predicted model, not a curated record.
GGAUGCCAUUUAAGGAAUGAAGCAAUUCUGAGGAACAAUGAAGAAAUUCAGGUGAACAAGUCUUAAAAUAGCAAUGCAAUUAAAAUUAAUUUACAAGAAAGUAAUUAAUAGCACAAACAGGGCACUCAAUUAAAAAAGGGUUAGAAUGAAAACGUGCAGCCACGGUGGUCCUCCGGGACUGGACUUGGUGACCCCUGAUCUAAGACAUUCACUCUUGCCAAGCUAAAAUAGUUCCCCAUAGUCCAUCUGUCACUGGAAAAAUUCUCCAAGGUUGUGCAUAGAUUGGAUAGUUCCAAUGCAUUAUUUUUAUAUGUCAGUGAAGAUAAAGUUUGUUGGUGAGGCUACCUUGGUAAGAGUAUAUCAGAUGGUCACCAUCAUACAGUAAGUAGUAAAGCACCUGUUAGGCUGGCAGUUUAAAAACUGUAACAGGCUACAAAAUACACUUCAGGUUUAAGUGGUAAUAGAGUUACUUGAUGCAUUGUUUUUCCUUGGAGGAAUGUUAAAUGAAAAAUUAAAAAAAUGAAUAAAACAAAACCUGCUGAUACAGCCCAAUACCGAAGUGUGUUCUGAAAUGAUAACCUUAAGGCACAAAGCAUUGCCAUAAGAAAUCAAACGUCCCCCUUGACAAUCUACAAUUGUACAUUCACUGUUUUGUAUCCACACCCUGCACAUUUCGUUCUCCCCAGUUCCGACUCCGCUCUUGUGUCUCCAGUUUUCUAUGUACAGGUCUAGCGAUGAUGAAUGAUGAUGAUGAUGAUUCCACUCAAAGCAAAAGAGGUGGUAGGGUGCCAUUUACAACAAAAAUGCUGGAGCUGGCUCUGCCACCAUGCCACACUUGCCUUACACGUUACCUCUAAGCCAAGAAAGUGAUGCAUUACAUCCAAAAGUAGACAUAACAGUGAAAUAUUCCUAAUGCUAAAAAAUGAACCUUGUAAAAUGCAAAAACGAAACAAACAACAACAACGUCUUUGUUGACCCUGACUGCAUUCAACGGCGUUGAAAAAUUGAUGGACUCACAAAGCGCGUCCUUCGCCUGCCAAUCCAGGAAGUGGCAGGUGACGUUGACGAAAGGCGUUCGUUGUCAUAGCAACACCGGGUCGCGCUCCAAGCCGGGACUGGCAGGCCAGGAAGUAGGCGCGUGAGCGCUUGGUGAAGCCCGACUUACCGUAGACACCGGCCGGUGAAGUGCUCCUGCUGAAAGGCUACUCCCAUGUCACCCAUCCCACCUCGUUCUACUCUUCUGUGUCUACCACCCAUGCCAAUUUGAAGUAUCCCCUACACUUUUACUCCCCACCUCUUUUAACUGAUCCAUGGCAGAAUGGAGACUUCCUGAAAACCAUGCAUCAAAACUGAGGGACUUUUGUUUAAAUGGGCAUUUUAACAGAAUGGCAGAACAGAACGAUAACGAUGGGCCAAAAGCCAGCGCUGAAGCAAUCCAGUUUCUUACAUCAAUUUCGGCAGAAGAGCUACAGCUGUCUCUGUUUGCGGAUUCUUUGGUAACAGUGUCAGAUACAGGAAGAGAACUGGGAGAAUUCACCAUUACUAUUCAGCAAGGAUACUAUCAUGAUGAAGAGUGUUUUCUGAUUCAUGCGAACAGCCAUGGAUCUAUUGAUGAUAUUCCCUGUGGAACGUCUAUUACUGCCUAUGUUUCUAAGAAGCUUGAAACACUGGAACAACAUCAUCAUGAAUAUGUGAAGCUUAAGGACCAUCCUUUAGACAGAAAAUCCUAUAUGGUGAAGCAGGAUGAUCAGUUGGUUGUGAACAAAAUUAUCACUGAAGGAGAAAAGGUUAUGAGACACGUUUUCACAUUUCCAUGGAACUCUAUGGAGGGAUUUGUGUCAGAGGCCUCUAAUCUACUAAUUUUAAGGGUUCUUGCUAAAAGACAGACUGUUGCUAAGGACAUGCUUUUUCUUGCCUUUGAUCCUGAAACCCAUCUCUGCUCAUCUUCUUACAGGGAACUGGGCACUAGGAACCAAAUGAUUGGAAACAAUAUGGUUGAGGUAUUUGGAAUUGAAAGAACAAUCAAUUCAGAACAAGAUAUAUCUAGCACAUGGCACUGUUUCUUCCUCUCAGAUGGGCAUCUAGCAAGCAGAGUGCAAGUUGGAUCUCCUGUGACAAUGAAGCUUUUAGUGUUACCAUCAUUAAUACAAAAAGAUGAAGAGAACGAUAAACCUGCUUUUGAAAAGAAGCCACUUGUUUGGGAAGAAGACGUGCAACUGUAUUCGAGGUUUCUUGAUAGAAAGGAGGAGCUAAAGGCAAGCCAUGCUGUGUAUCUUAGACAUCAUCCUGAACUGAAAGCACUAAUGGCAGACUUCCUUCAGUUUCUGUUGCUCAGAAAACCAGCAGACAUUUUCAUCUUUGCUGCUGAUUAUUUUGCCCCCUUUUCUUCACAGAAGUAUCCUGAACUUUCAGAUAAGUCGCCUAGAAUUGCCAGUACAGUAACUGAAAAUGCACAAGAACUGUAAAACAAGAAGUGAAUAAGAAAAUGUCUAAAGGGCUUGCAUACAUGUAUUAAGUGGAAUUUUUAACUUAAUGUACAUAUUUAAUUUUAAGUAUGCUGAAUGUAUUUAAUGGUGCAUAGAGAGUAUAAAAUCUUACUUUAGGCAUUUUAAUCUAUCGUAACAAUCUCCAUUUUAUUAAAUAAAUCUAUUUGACUUGGGUUGUUUAAUGCAUUUGUUACGUUUCUAUUAUAAAGUGAAUAAUAUUGAUAUAAAUAUAAACACUGGAAUGAUGCACAUGGCACAGUGAUUUUGCACAUAAGCUCAAGGGCACUUUUAUUUUCCUUUCCUGUUUUCUUGCAGCUCCUAUUCCAAUUCAUGUUGUUCCUACUCUUGAGGUCAUUGGGUAUGCUGCCAAAACAACCAACCUGCAAGAUUUCUGAAGUUUGUCCUCGUCUUCCCCUCGCAGAGGCCAUCCCCUUGAUACUGGUGUCUCUCACUCUUGCUCCUUGCCUCUGGGCCUUACUGCUCUCCUCUAAACCUCCUCACCAGGACUAGGGGACAUCCAUCAAGAAGCCCACUUUAUUCAUGCACUUGCAUCAGAGCAGUCAACAGAUGGAAGAAGACAACUGUGCAGCUCCCCUGUGUUUGGCUGCCAUUAGCAAGUGAAAUGGAAGUUGAAUCUACUAGUAUGACUAUGGAUUGUUCAGUUGAAAAAGAGCUCCUACAAGAGGAGGAACGCAAACCUACUUUUGAAAAGGAGUCACUUGUCUGGGUGGAGGACUUGCAAGUGUAUUCAAGAUUUCUUGACAUAAAGGAAUUGCUGACAGCAAGCCAUCUUACAUAUUUCAAGCAUCACCCUGAGCUGAAAGCCCUAAUACAAGAUUUCCUGCUGUACUUGUUGCUUAGAAAACCAGAGGACAUUUUCACAUUUGCUGCUGAUUUUUUUGUGCAAUUUUCCUCCCGGAACAUUCCAUUUCGUAAAUUGAGCACUAGACCUUUCACAGACGAGGACAGUUAAGUUAGGUAUUUCAGGUGUCAGACUCAAGUGCAAUAUGACCAUCAUGAGAAAAGUAUGAACAGAAUGUGCAAAAACUGGGGAAAGAAUGUACUGUUGUCAUAAUUCUUAAAACGAUGUUUCAAUUAAUGUCUACGGAAUCUGGCAGAAAACACAACUAGUUGAAUUUUUUUGUAUGCUGAUUGUCUUUAAGUAGUAUGUGAAUAUAAAUACUUUUAAUAAAUAUGGCCUUAUGAUUUAUGGCAGAAAAACCAAGAAUUAAUAAUUCAGUGAUCUGUCAUCCACUUGUGAUCAUCAUUACUCUUUUCUGACCCUUAAUUUGUGCUUUCAUGCCGUCUGAAAUUGUUGGUUUCAUUAAUGAAUAAUAGUUUUAUUUUAAAUAAAUGAUCUCUUGCACCACUGCUAUGAAGCAUGGGCAUUCCUUAAGCAUCCUUAAAUGGAUGCCCAUUAAUCUUAGAAGGACACAAAAACCACAAGGCUGACCUAUACAGUAAGUAUACUUAACGUUUCAUAGCUAGUUUUAGGGUGGCACGGUGGCGCAGUGGUA